UGGGGAAUAUUGGACAAUGGGCGAAAGCCUGAUCCAGCCAUGCCGCGUGUGUGAAGAAGGUCUUCGGAUUGUAAAGCACUUUAAGUUGNGAGGAAGGGCAGUAAGUUAAUACCUUGCUGUUUUGACGUUACCAACGGAAUAUGCACCGGCUAACUUCGUGCCACCGGCCGCGGUAUUACGAAGGGUGCAAGCGUUAAUCGGAAUUACUGGCGGUAAAGGGGGGGUAGGGGGUUCAGCAAGUUGGAUGUGAAAUCCCCGGGCUCAACCUGGGAACUGCAUCCAAAACUACUGAGCUAGAGUACGGAAGAGGGUGGUGGAAUUUCCUGUGUGGGGGUGAAAUGCGUAGAUAUAGGAAGGAACACCAGUGGCGAAGGGGACCCCCUGGACUGAUACUGACACUGAGGUGCGAAAAGCUGGGGGGGCAAACGGGAUUAGAUACCCUGGUAGUCCACGGCCGUAAAACGAUGUCGACUAGCCGUUGGGAUCCAUUGAGACCUUAGUGGNNCGNUUAANGCGAUAAGNCGACCGCCUGGGGAGUACGGCCGCAAGNUUA
Molecule: ribosomal RNA, 553 nt
Filed under: uncultured bacterium
Lineage: Bacteria
Description: bacterial SSU rRNA
Rfam family: Bacterial small subunit ribosomal RNA
Source: RNAcentral